AGCAGCCGCGGUAAUUCCAGCUCCAAUAGCGUAUAUUAAAGUUGUUGCAGUUAAAAAGCUCGUAGUUGAAUUUCGGGGUUAGUAGGUUGGUCAUGCCUCUGGUAUGUACUGGUCUCACUGAUUCCUCCUUCCUGAUGAACCGUAAUGCCAUUAAUUUGGUGUUGCGGGGAAACUGGACUGUUACUUUGAAAAAUUAGAGUGUUUAAAGCAGGCUAACGCUUGAAUACAUUAGCAUGGAAUAAUGAAAUAGGACGUUCGAUCCUAUUUUGUUGGUUUCUAGGAUUGACGUAAUGAUUAAUAGGGAUAGUUGGGGGCAUUAGUAUUCAAUUGUCAGAGGUGAAAUUCUUGGAUUUAUUGAAGACUAACUACUGCGUAAGCAUUUGCCAAGGAUGUUUUCAUUAAUCAAGAACGAAAGUUAGGGGAUCGAAGACGAUCAGAUACCGUCGUAGUCUUAACCAUAAACUAUGCCGACUAGGGAUCGGAUGAUGUUUAAUUUUUAAUGACUCAUUCGGCGCCUUAC
Molecule: ribosomal RNA, 520 nt
Filed under: uncultured Glomus
Lineage: Eukaryota; Fungi; Glomeromycota; Glomeromycetes; Glomerales; Glomeraceae
Description: SSU rRNA
Rfam family: Eukaryotic small subunit ribosomal RNA
Source: RNAcentral